AGCGAACGUUAGCGGCAGGCCUAACACAUGCAAGUCGCGCGAGAAUGGGGCUUCGGCUCCUAGUAAAGCGGCGGACAGGUGAGUAACACGUGGAUAAUCUGCCCUUCGGCGGGGGACGAACAGUCCGAAAGGAUUGCUAAUACCGCGUAAGUCGGCGAGGUCUUCGGAUCUUGUCGGGAAAGAUGGCCUCUUCAUGAAAGCUAUCACCGAAGGAUGAGUCCGCGUCCCAUCAGCUAGUUGGCGGUGUAAGAGACCACCAAGGCUAAGACGGGUAGCUGGUCUGAGAGGAUGAUCAGCCACACUGGAACUGAGACACGGUCCAGACUCCUACGGGAGGCAGCAGUGGGAAUAUUGGGCAAUGGGCGCAAGCCUGACCCAGCCAUGCCGCGUGAGUGAUGAAGGCC
This 404-nucleotide ribosomal RNA is filed under the name uncultured bacterium. Its description in RNAcentral is "bacterial SSU rRNA". It matches the Rfam family "Bacterial small subunit ribosomal RNA", at positions 29 to 416 of the family's 1533-position model. The record is from RNAcentral.